GGAUUAGAUACCCUGGUAGUCCACGCCCUAAACGAUGUGCACUGGAUCGGGGGCGGUCUGACCCGUUCUUGGUCGUAGAGAAAUUGUUAAGUGCACCGCCUGGGGAGUACGGUCGCAAGGCUAAAACUCAAAGGAAUUGACGGGGGCUCACACAAGCGGUGGAGCAUGUUGCUUAAUUCGAUACAACGCGAAGAACCUUACCCGGGUUUGACAUGCUAGGAUUAACCUUUCGAAAGAUAGGCCACGCCCUUUGGGUGGAACUAGCACAGGUGCUGCAUGGCUGUCGUCAGCUCGUGCCG
RNAcentral lists this ribosomal RNA (299 nucleotides) under uncultured bacterium. RNAcentral describes it as "partial 16S ribosomal RNA". It matches the Rfam family "Bacterial small subunit ribosomal RNA", at positions 775 to 1067 of the family's 1533-position model. The record is from RNAcentral.